This 400-nucleotide ribosomal RNA is filed under the name Arabidopsis thaliana (thale cress). Lineage: Eukaryota; Viridiplantae; Streptophyta; Magnoliopsida; Brassicales; Brassicaceae. The record is from RNAcentral.
UUUUGACCGAAAUGUACUAUUUUUGGCCUUUUCGUGAUCUUUGUUAUAUUACGGGACAAAAAUUAUAUGUUCGGACAUUGUUUUCGAAUAUUUUUGCAUGUAUCAAAACUCUUAUAAGCAAGAUAGGGUAUUCCUACAUAGCUGGUGGGACCUACCGCAAAUGGAUCAUAAAGUCUUCAAAAAAGAAUAUAUAUAAUUGCAUUGCAUGUAGUAACGAAUGCGAUCCUACCAGCACUAAUGCACUUGAUCCUAUCAGAACACCGCAGUUAAGCGUGCUUGGGCGAGAGUAGUACUAGGAUGGGUGACCUCCAGGACAAGUCUUCGUGUUGCAUCCCUCUUUUUUUUGGUUUUUCUCUAUUUUUUUUUGUUAAAAAUGUAUGACUCAAUAACUUCUAGACCG